AGCGUUUUGCAUGGCUUGAUGGAGAAAGGUCAGAGAUGUGCCAUUGCCCUGUGAGCACCAUGGGCAGGGAGUUGGAGCACAUGCACAGGUUCAGAGAAGAGGGCAAGAGACAGCCCUCAGUGCUGCUUGGUCUUUAUGCUUCUCUGUGGCAGGAAAAGGACACAGAAAUUGCCUGUUCCUAAUCUGGAUGAUCCAGUCAGGCUUUAUAUUUUGAGUCUGGCAGCAUGUUAGUUGCCCCAGCAAAAUGUGGCUGCUCCACAAGAAUAGAGGCCCUGCAGAGGAGGCAGUGCCAGGAGUGCCUGAGAGAGAGGUUGAUCAUGUCAGUGUAAUGCAAGAUGAGAAUUCUUACUUACUGGAGGACCAGGUGGACCAGAUUGGCUUGGAAACCUCACAUUUUACAUAGUGCCCUAAAAACAUGGCUUAGAAACUAGAAGAGAGGGAGCUGCUUUGGGUAAUGCAAUUAGUAA
Molecule: long non-coding RNA, 467 nt
Organism: Ficedula albicollis (Collared flycatcher)
Lineage: Eukaryota; Metazoa; Chordata; Aves; Passeriformes; Muscicapidae
Exons: 5
Source: RefSeq, a predicted model, not a curated record